This 460-nucleotide ribosomal RNA is filed under the name uncultured bacterium. RNAcentral's name for it is "partial 16S ribosomal RNA". It matches the Rfam family "Bacterial small subunit ribosomal RNA", at positions 338 to 795 of the family's 1533-position model. The record is from RNAcentral.
CCUACGGGAGGCAGCAGUGCGGAAUAUUGGUCAAUGGGCGCAAGCCUGAACCAGCCAAGUCGCGUGAGUGAAGACGGCCCUACGGUUUGUAAACCUCUUUUGCCGGGGAGCAAGCCUUAGCACGUGUGCCCAGGCGGAGAGUACCCGGAUACAAAGCAUCGGCUAACUCCGUGCCAGCAGCCGCGGUAAUACGGAGGCUGCGAGCGGUAUCGGGAUUUAUUGGGUUUAAAGGGUGCUCAGGCGGGCUGUUAAGCCGGCGGUAAGAAUUCAGGGCUAAACCCUGUCGAGCCGUCGGAACUGGCAGUCUUGAGUGGGCGAGAGGUAAGCGGAAUGCGUGGUGUAGCGGUGAAAUGCAUAGAUAUCACGCAGAACGCCGAUUGCGAAGGCAGCAUACCGGCGCCCAACUGACGCUGAGGCACGAAAGCGUGGGGAUCGAACAGGAUUAGAUACCCUGGUAGUC